GGGCAUGUGGCUUAGUGGUAGAGUGCUUGCCUAGCAUGCAUGUAUGCAUGGGUUCAAUUCCCAGUACCA
RNAcentral lists this transfer RNA (69 nucleotides) under Dipodomys ordii (Ord's kangaroo rat). It matches the Rfam family "tRNA". Rfam says of the family: Transfer RNA (tRNA) molecules are approximately 80 nucleotides in length. Their secondary structure includes four short double-helical elements and three loops (D, anti-codon, and T loops). The record is from Rfam by way of RNAcentral. Lineage: Eukaryota; Metazoa; Chordata; Mammalia; Rodentia; Heteromyidae.